Suricata suricatta (meerkat) is the source of this 302-nucleotide long non-coding RNA. RefSeq lists it as uncharacterized. The transcript is spliced from 3 exons. Lineage: Eukaryota; Metazoa; Chordata; Mammalia; Carnivora; Herpestidae. The record is from RefSeq and is a predicted model, not a curated record.
CAGAACUGAAAGGAGCUUCUAGAACCAGACAACCUGGGUUCAAACAUCGAUUCUGCCACUUACUGUGUGGCUCUGGGCUCAUCCAGUUUGACCACAUGGCUUGAAGCUUUGUCAGAGUUUCCUCUUGGUGACAGUGUUGCUCCAGAAAUGCCAAGACGCCCGCCAACCCUCACACCACCCCCAUCGACGCCCGGUCUCCUCUCCCGCCCUUCGGGUCUGAAAAAAAACGCCAGAAAACCUCCAGAAAGGAAGUUGUGCAGCUGCUAGUAUUUAUCUUUGAGAGAGAGAAAGAGCACGUGUGC